Molecule: long non-coding RNA, 319 nt
Filed under: Dromaius novaehollandiae (emu)
Lineage: Eukaryota; Metazoa; Chordata; Aves; Casuariiformes; Dromaiidae
Description: lncRNA (ENSDNVG00000018115.1)
Source: RNAcentral
UACAUUUACAGAAGAAAUGGAAAGGCCAGUAGCUAUAUAUCAGUGUGACGUCAGGCUGCAGACUACAAGAAUGCUGGUGCAUCAGAUAAUGAGUACAUUAGUCUGGAUUUCAAGGGACCUGUGCUGCAUAGAAGCAAGACGUUGGUCAUUCAGUACUUACGCAAUACCUACCUGAAAAGAUGCUUUCUAUAAAGACAAGGUGUUUUGUCCGAACAGAAGAUGAACCUUGGAACAUAAGACACCUGUUAGUCUUCUGUAAAUCUCUUUUUCUGUAUCUGCAAUUAUGCUAAAUAUAGCAGAAUAGGUGGAUAGAAAAAGG